Molecule: ribosomal RNA, 746 nt
Filed under: uncultured archaeon
Lineage: Archaea
Description: bacterial SSU rRNA
Rfam family: Archaeal small subunit ribosomal RNA
Source: RNAcentral
ACGGGGUGCAGCAGGCGCGAAACCUCCACAAUUCACGCAAGUGAGAUGGGGUUACCUCGAGUGCUAUCUGAAGAAGGUGGCUUUUCCAUGGUGUAAUGAGCCGUGGGAAUAAGGGGGGGGCAAGACUGGUGUCAGCCGCCGCGGUAACACCAGCCCCCCGAGUGGUGGGGAUGAUUAUUUGGCCUAAAGCGUCCGUAGCCAGCUUGGUAAAUCUCUCGUUAAAUCCAGCGUCCUAAGCGUUGGGCUGCGAGGGAAACUGCCGAACUAGAGGGUGGGAGAGGUCAGCGGUAUUCCUGGGGUAGGGGCGAAAUCCAUUGAUCCCAGGAGGACCACCAGUGGCGAAGGCUGCUGACUAGAACACGCCUGACGGUGAGGGACGAAAGCUGGGGUAGCGAAUCGGAUUAGAUACCCGAGUAGUCCCAGCCGUAAACGAUGCAGGCUAGGUGUUGGGUCGGCCAUGCGCCGCCUCAGUGCCACAGGGAAGCCAUUAAGCCUGCCGCCUGGGGAGUACGGCCGCAAGGCUGAAACUUAAAGGAAUUGGCGGGGGAGCACCACCAGGCGUGAAGCCUGCGGUUUAAUUGGAGUCAACGCCGGGAACCUUACCGGGAGCGACAGCAGAGUGAAGGCCAGGCUGAAGGUCUUGCCAGACGAGCUGAGAGGAGGUGCAUGGCCGUCGCCAGUUCGUGCCGUGAGGUGUCCUCUUAAGUGAGGUAACGAACGAGACCCGCGCCCCAUGUUGCCAGCAA